Long non-coding RNA from Ctenopharyngodon idella (grass carp), 2524 nucleotides. RefSeq lists it as uncharacterized. The record is from RefSeq and is a predicted model, not a curated record. The transcript is spliced from 5 exons. NCBI's taxonomy places the organism in Eukaryota, Metazoa, Chordata, Actinopteri, Cypriniformes, Xenocyprididae.
UUCCAGUAAUGAUUCCACAGUGACAGUAGUGUAUAGAGGCAGGUUAACACACAUAACUAAACCAGAUUAGUUUUGAUUUGAAGGUCUCUUUAACUUUUCAUCAAAUCCCUUUUAUAAAACUCAACAUUCUGAAACUCAAACAGCAACAUCAGAACAGAUCUCAGAACUGCGGCGAUGUUUCCUCUGUUCUGCUCAUCACAAGCUGGACAUCUUGAUGUGUGUGAUUGAACAGAUAUGGGCUGUAGAAAGAAAAUCACACAUCCAGAAAACUGCUGGAGCCUCAGAAAUCACAGAGCAGCAGAAAACAAGAAGACAGAGAGAAAAAUGGAGACACAAACCAGUGGAUCACAAGAGAAAAGAGGACUGAGACUUCAGAGACACCACAGUAUGUUGAGAAUAAACCAGACUGUGAGGUUUUGAUCAUUAUAGAAUUUGCUAUAGAUGUAGUUAUUGUUGGAUGAAAAACCAGACUGAGGGUCUGUUUACAAUGACACUGUUUUCAACACUUUUUUAAUGCAUUUUGGCCGUUCGUUUACUUGGCAACAGCAUUUUGUAUGCCUGAAAACACAAACUUUUGAAGUGCAAGUUUUUGAAAAUGAUACCGUUAUCAUUUCCGUGUAAACUACGAAAACAUGAAUUUGUGAAUUUAAUAAAGGAUGUUUUAUUAAAAAGGUCGGGAGCAACAUGUUCAAAUGAUCAGCAAUGAACGAGCAACAUGUCUACCCAAUUUGUAUGAGUGGAGGCCUACACACACACACACACACACACACACACACACACAACUAGAGUUACAAACAAGAGCUACUCAGUGAAGAUGUUUUCACCUCAGUCAGUAACAAGCUCUCUGAGAUCUCGGCACCUGAUGGCGCGAUAACGGAGCACAUUCUCUCAGAGAUGAUGGGAGACGAAUUUCAACAUAAUAUGCUGAUAAUAACGCUUCAGACAACAACAUCAUCAUCAUCAGAGACCAGCCGUGGGUAUUUCCAUCUCUUCAGCUCAUCACGAGUAAUCUUUUGGUAAAUCAGGAUGGCUUCAGAAGGAUUUUGUGUGGAUCAUGGAUCAAGGAAGACACAUUGGUGGGGAAAGAAGAGUGUCAGAGAGAGAGAGAUACAAACUAAAGAUCCAGGAGAGAAACAGAUCCUCAGACGAGUCAGACGAAACAGCAUUAACAGUGGAGCACCAAACUUUUCUCAUGAUCCAGAGAUUGAGUCUGAUGAUUCAGAGACGCUCACAGAUGAGGGGAAACACUCACUUGACAUUUGAUAUUCAACAGUGUUUUGAUCUGCAUUGACACCCCUGUAUGUGAACUGAACUGAGCUGGAUGAUGACAUCACUGUUACUCCAGUGCUGAUAUAUAGAUAAAUUAACUAAAUUAAUAACUAUCGAUUCUUACAACGGAAUGAAUCAAUACUAAAUUUACUUAAGAUGGAUAAUGACACCAUUUUCUUUAAGAGCUGCUUUGCAGCCAAAAUUAUAUACCACUGUAAAGCUGCUUUGACACAAUCUGCAUUGUUAAAAGCGCUAUAGAAAUAAAGGUGACUUGACUGAUCAGAUAAUGAAGUUCAAACUGAAGAACUGAUACAGAAAUCUGAUGUGAUAUGAGUUGUAUGUGUGUGUGUUUCCUCUUUAGAUAGCUGUAGUUCCUGUCGUCUCACCAGCAGAAGUUUUUCUUCAGAAGUUGUUCAGUCACUGAAUGAGUGUAUAUUAAUUAUAGUUUAUAUUUCAGUAUUAUUCAGUUCUGGCUCUAAUAAGCAGUACAAGCGGUUGCACAGGAUCAGCAGAGGAACAUCUCACAUUCACACAGUAAUGACUGGAUUGAUAAAGUUUGCUUUUGUCAAUCGAUUUGAUCAUGUUUGAAAAUAAAGAGAUGGCACUAAUAUUACUGUAAUGAACAUGAACAGUGUUAUUGUGGGCAUUUUAAAAUCAAAUUUUAGAUAUUAUUAUCCCUCAAGCAGUUAAAAGUUUGAUGUGAACAAAAGCAGCAGAAGUGAUGAACAGAAGUGCAGAUUCACUCUCUGACAGACAGGUGGCGCUCAUAUAACAGAAAUACAGGGGCACAUUUUCAUCUUCACUUUCAUUAAAACCUGAAGGUUAAUUGAGUGAAAUCAUUAAAUAUGCAUUCAAAGUGUUGCUAUUAUUACAUAUCUUCAAUUAAAAUAUGGGGAAUUAAAUAUGUAAAUAUUCAUAUUCCUGUACAUGGGUAAUAGAAUAAUUUUAUCUUUGUCUGUCAUCGGUUAUUAAAUUAGCACUUCUCGUGUUAUAAUAACUUCCUAAGAUGAGUUGUUUGUUGUCACUUUGUAUAUAAGCAUCUGCUAAAUAAAUAUAAUGUUUUUCCUGAAUAAAUAUGAUAGUUUUACAGUAAACAGAUACAAUCACUGCUUUUACUAUAAAGCCAUUUAAGAGAGUAUAUUUCUGCACAUGUCAAUCUAAAACGGUUACUAGAAUGAAUUAUAAAUAAAUACGAACUACAUUUAUAUUUUUAAUGAAAUUAAUUUCACUUUUAAUAAAUCUGUACUGCUCCAAA